CAAUGUUGAGCAGUGUAGGGUUGAUCAUGAUCAUGUGACUGACAGACAGCUUUGGGAGAGAACGGCACUGAACACAGAAACAUCAGGCGAGACUAAAGGAGUUUCCACAGCGCGACAGAUAGAGCCUACAAGUUAACAUUGCCUCUGCUUUAAACCCGUUAUUCAAGUGCUCUGAAACACAUCGACGGUCGGUGAAAAAGUCCUGGGAGAAGAAGAAGAAGCUGUUUUCAACAGCCAGGAUAGAGGUUUGGUGUGGUGGCUAUAAAACAUAAUCUGUAGAAGAGGAGAGACGAACAAAUCUCAGCGGGCAUGCGGGAGUUUUUGGAGUUAUUUGACUGCAAACAUUCUACAAACAAAUAAGAACUUUCGCGCAGAUUCGUUUCGUUAAUUGCGUCAUCAUUUUUUUUUAACUGAUGAUUGAGGGUGAUACAAACUUGGAACUUUGUGUUUGAAAAGUAACGUUAGUAGCAACAUCGGGUCAGAAGUUUGGAAUAAAACGGAAAACAUAUCAAACCCCUCCGUUUGCGUUUUUGUGGGGGGCUGUCGUGUUUUUCCAAAGCUUAACGCGUUUUUUUAAGCUUUUUUUGGGGGGGCCAAUAUUUUAAACAUGGUUGGGGAAAUGGAAACGAAGGAGAAGCCUAAGCCGACUCCUGAUUAUCUGAUGCAGCUCAUGAAUGACAAGAAACUGAUGAGCAGCCUGCCAAACUUCUGUGGCAUUUUCAACCAUCUCGAGCGACUGUUAGAUGAAGAAAUUGGACGGGUACGGAAGGACAUGUACAAUGACACUAUGAACGGCACAGAUAAAAGGACUUCCGAGCUCCCAGAUGCUGUGGGGCCCAUCGCACAACUCCAAGAGAAACUCUAUGUGCCUGUAAAAGAAUUCCCAGACUUUAAUUUUGUGGGAAGAAUCCUGGGGCCCCGGGGCCUGACGGCCAAACAAUUGGAGGCAGAGACGGGCUGCAAGAUCAUGGUGCGAGGCAAAGGCUCCAUGAGAGACAAGAAGAAGGAAGAGCAAAACAGAGGAAAGCCCAACUGGGAACACCUGAACGAAGACCUGCAUGUCCUCAUCACUGUGGAAGACUCUCAGAACCGCGCUGAGAUCAAACUCAAGAGAGCCGUCGAGGAGGUCAAGAAACUGCUUGUCCCUGCGGCUGAAGGAGAAGACAGCUUGAAAAAAAUGCAGCUGAUGGAGCUGGCCAUACUCAACGGCACAUACAGAGACGCCAAUAUCAAGUCACCAGCCUUAGCCUUCUCCCUGGCCGCCACAGCACAAGCUCCCCGCCUUAUCACCGGCCCCUCCCCGGGGAUGCCCACUGGGGCUCUGCGUAACCCUGCACCCAACGCACCCACCCUCAUGCCCCUCAUCCGACAGAUCCAGACCUCUGCCCUCAUGCCCACGGGCACGCCCCACCACCUCUUACCCCAGAACCCCGAGUCAGGCAUCAUCUAUGCACCCUACGAUUACCCCUACACCCUAGCCCCAGCCUCCAUUCUUGAAUAUCCUAUUGACUCCAGUGGUGUUUUAGGUAUGGCUUUCCCGACAAAAGGCUAGUAAUGCUCAGGGGUUUUACACAGUCUUCAGCCCAUACGAGUGUUAAAAAUGCUUUGCUUUACAGCUGCCUUGGAACAAAAGAGCAAACGAAGAAACUGAUUUUUAUAAGAAACAAAAGACUAAAGAUCAUUACUACUCAUGUUUACACUGGUCAUAACUGUUUUGUUGACUUAUUCAUAGAUUAAAAAAUGGAUAUUUUCAGAUAAAUACAGAUAAUUAAGCCUUUUUACAUUCCUCUGUUUGAAAGUAAUCUAUAUUUGUUUAGCUUGUAAUAUUUGUAUCACUUAAUUUCUCCUGCAACUGUAUCUUAGAUAUUUAGAGAGUGAUCAGUAUUAUCGCUAAUAUAACGUACUUGUGUAAAACAUUCUCCAUGAAAGCCUGCAGUGAAUUCAUUUUAUCUGAAGCGUCUUGUGUAUUGAGAGGAAUACAAGGGCUCUAUAGUUUAAAUUAGUCAGAGCAUUACGCAUCAUUUGUGUUUUUAUGGAAAUACUUCAGAUUUACUGGGAAAUUGAGAAGGGGAACAACAUAUGAUGUGAUUUCAUUUCACAAUGGAGAAAAGGUCACUUGUGCCUUGUAAUUUGGACUCACAAGCCUUGUUUGUGAAACAAUUUUGUGUGAAAUGUCGUGUUAAUGUAUUUUGAUUAAUAAUCUGUUAAUUCUUGUUUUGUUGGCAAUGUUGCGCUCUGAGCAGGUGCAGUGACUACUAAAGUACGAAGGCAGGAUAUGCGCGUCCAUCCUUACCAAAGGGUAGUGACCGCAGAACGAGCCGCCACCGGCAACUAACCAAUGACCCUCUGAACUCUUCACCCAAUGAUGACCUGACCAUUGCCUGCCUGCUGACCAGUUCUCUGGCUCUCGUCCUUCGCUUCUAUGUUUUGGCAGCCUGCUGGUGAGCCCAGAAGCAGCUUUAAUUCGCUUAACACAGCCGAGAAGCCGUGAUGGCCCCACGCCACCACCCGCAGAACCGAAUCACUCCCCUUCUCAAACUGAGGACCUCCUUGGUCAGGUGACCUGGGCUUCCCAGCCUGCACUGAAGUGUCAUAAUAAAGCAAUAACACUGUCUGGGCGACACCUAAAAUCCUAAUGUUAGCCUUUCACAUGCACACACUAAAUAAACACACAUCUUUAUUUGUUUCUAAAAAUGAAUAAUUGAGCAUAAUGUUUAACACUCUAAGUUUGUGCACUGCAGUUCUCAUACCAUCCUGAAGAGUUAAAAGAAAAACCCUGCAGUUUACUUUAAAACUGACUUAGAGGUCCAAAUGUCCGUAAGGGAUGUAAAAACCAUGCUUGCCUACCAGCGUUUUCUUCAGAGAGCUGUCGAAAAAGCAUUCAGUCACACGAGGAAGUGUACAAACACAACAUCAAUUAAUAUCUUUUUGAUACGAGGGUGCUGCACAGGAAAUGAUUAUAUAUUUUUCACAGGUGAUCCUUUUUUGUAUUAAAAAAAACAGUAUUGUCAAAAUGUGAUGAACAAACAAUGCGUAUUUCCUUAUGACAAAUAUUUAGAGACCAAAACGGUGUCUUUUUUAAAAUAAAAACAAACAAACAAGUGCCUUAUUUUACACUAUCAUCAAUUAUGAACAAGUAUGAAUGUCCAUCAAUGUGUUAUAUGCCAACAUAUCAGGUAUUUCUGUUCAAUUCCUCUUUAUCGGUGAUCAUGAAAACGAGGUGUACAGAACAAUGUUGCAGGCGUUACACUCAAAAACUAGUGUUUUUAUGUGCGUUUAAUAUCUUUCUUUACGAAUAAUGAUUAAUAGAGUUUUACCCUGUCACACUACAUUAGGUACUUCUUGAGCUCUUUACGCUUGCAAUCUGAUUGUUUGUGAAAAUAUGUGUAUGUUUAUAGAGCAUCACUACAUCUGUUAUACAGCAAUGAAGCACAUCAAUAUGAAACUUCUAAACUAUUACUUCGAUUCCGUAUUUUUCACUCAGCUUAUAUCUCAAGGAGCAUUUUUUCAAUUCAGCAGGUUGAAAUUGAUAAAGGUUUGGGGUUAAUUAGUCAUUUUAUUCCUUUUGAAGAAUUUAAGUGUUCUAGAAGUUGUGUGCAGACAUGUCACAUUUCCUUCCUAUGCAAAUGAUUUUCAGUUUUAUUAAAAUGACCGAAUAAAUGUCCUUCAGUUGGUCUUCCAGUAUCAUUUCAGAAACUAAAAGCCUAUUAACAAAUUAUGAUUACAUGUUGUUAUUUGGUUAUCAUAACUGGAUUUUAAGAAGAUCUCAUCUCCUUUUAAAAAAUAAUAAUAUUGGUUGUAUUUAUGCAGAGCAAAUGCAAUACUUUUUAGACGUUUGCGUUUGUAAUCAAGUUGCAUGUCAUUUUUUUUAUUACUAUUAAUCUGGAUAUUGCUAAAGGAAAAAUCCUGCAAAUAUAUUUAACAGAUGGAAUUUGUUUUUACGGCCAGGAACUGGAGUUUGUUAAUGUGGGUUUUUUGGUUUAGUGUUUGCCUUCCAUGCAGUAUUACUAUAGACCAUGUCGACAUGUGUAAGCAUGUUUACUGAUGAUUGUGUGAGUGAGUGUUUGUGUAUUGUAUAUGCCAAUGAACUGCAACUCGCCAUUCAAGCUUAUUAUUGUCUUUUUUUUUGGUUGCAAACCCAAGCAGCUCCCUGCAUUGGAAAAUAUACAGUCCAAUUUAUAACUAUUGUAACAUUUUAUAAUGUAUUUUUCUAUCAUAUUUUGUAUGUGAGAAAUAACAUUAAAUCACAUUUCCAGAUAUGAA
Molecule: RNA transcript, 4263 nt
Organism: Rhinichthys klamathensis goyatoka
Lineage: Eukaryota; Metazoa; Chordata; Actinopteri; Cypriniformes; Leuciscidae
Gene: qki2
Gene name: QKI, KH domain containing, RNA binding 2
Exons: 8
Source: RefSeq, a predicted model, not a curated record